This is a non-coding RNA of Thamnophis sirtalis, 375 nucleotides long. The record is from RefSeq and is a predicted model, not a curated record. NCBI's taxonomy places the organism in Eukaryota, Metazoa, Chordata, Lepidosauria, Squamata, Natricidae.
AGGAGGAGGAGGGCUGGAGGAGGACGGCGACUCCCGGGCGACUGCAGUUGGCGGUGGGAUAUUGCCCGCUCGCUCCGGUUUUUCGCAUCGGAGGAAACGUCAAGGUGGCUACUAGGAGCACGCGAUCGCCGCCGCUUUGCCGGGACUUUCUUGCUUUUCCUUCGCUUCUUCUUCGCCUUCUGGUUUGAGAGGCUUUCGUUUCAAAUAUGUGCGGGUGAACAGUUGUGCGCCGUCGCCCGGGAGACCUCACAAAGGGUAUUGCCUUGAGACUCCUGGACCACAAUGGAAUGCUGAAUAAGGCGGUAGCAAGAUUACAACAAUAGACCAUGGACUUCAACACGAGACACUGGUGAUGCAGCGGCAGUGAGUAUUUUC